UGCANGUCNNNNAAGUAGCAAUACUUAGUGGCAGACGGGUGAGUAACAUGUGGGUAUCUUCCCUUUGGUGAGGAAUAACACGAGGAAGCUUGUGCUAAUACCUCAUAAGUCUUUACGGAGAAAGCUUUAUGCGCCAAUGGAUGAGCCCGCACUUGAUUAGUUUGUUGGUGGGGUAAAGGCCUACCAAGACUAUGAUCAAUAGCUGAUUUGAGAGGAUGAUCAGCCACAUUGGGACUGAGACACGGCCCAAACUCCUACGGGAGGCAGCAGUAGGGAAUCUUGCACAAUGGGGGAAACCCUGAUGCAGCGAUGCCGCGUGAGUGAAGAAGGCCCUUGGGUUGUAAAGCUCUUUCGUCGGGGAAGAAAAUGACUGUACCCGAAUAAGAAGGUCCGGCUAACUUCGUGCCAGCAGCCGCGGUAAUACGAAGGGACCUAGCGUAGUUCGGAAUUACUGGGCUUAAAGAGUUCGUAGGUGGUUAAAAAAGUUGGUGGUGAAAUCCCAGAGCUUAACUCUGGAACUGCCAUCAAAACUUUUUAGCUAGAGUAUGAUAGAGGAAAGCAGAAUUUCUAGUGUAGAGGUGAAAUUCGUAGAUAUUAGAAAGAAUACCAAUUGCGAAGGCAGCUUUCUGGAUCAUUACUGACGCUGAGGAACGAAAGCAUGGGUAGCGAAGAGGAUUAGAUACCCUCGUAGUCCAUGCCGUAAACGAUGUGUGUUAGACGUUGGAAAUUUAUUUUCAGUGUCGCAGCGAAAGCAAUAAACACACCGCCUGGGGAGUACGACCGCANGGUUAAAACUCAAAUGAAUUGANNGGNACCCGCACAAGUAGUGNNGCAUGUGGU
RNAcentral lists this ribosomal RNA (840 nucleotides) under uncultured bacterium. Its description in RNAcentral is "bacterial SSU rRNA". It matches the Rfam family "Bacterial small subunit ribosomal RNA", at positions 56 to 945 of the family's 1533-position model. The record is from RNAcentral.